This 71-nucleotide transfer RNA is filed under the name Loxodonta africana (African savanna elephant). It matches the Rfam family "tRNA". From Rfam's summary of the family: Transfer RNA (tRNA) molecules are approximately 80 nucleotides in length. Their secondary structure includes four short double-helical elements and three loops (D, anti-codon, and T loops). Lineage: Eukaryota; Metazoa; Chordata; Mammalia; Proboscidea; Elephantidae. The record is from Rfam by way of RNAcentral.
GCAAUGGUGGGUCAGUGGUAGAAUUCCCAUCUUGCACACAGGAGAUCCUGGUUCCAUUCCUGGCCAGUGUG